RNAcentral lists this ribosomal RNA (253 nucleotides) under uncultured bacterium. Its description in RNAcentral is "partial 16S ribosomal RNA". It matches the Rfam family "Bacterial small subunit ribosomal RNA", at positions 524 to 776 of the family's 1533-position model. The record is from RNAcentral.
UACGUAGGGUGCGAGCGUUAAUCGGAAUUACUGGGCGUAAAGCGUGCGCAGGCGGUUCGUUGUGUCGGCGGUGAAAGCCCCGGGCUUAACCUGGGAAUGGCCGUCGAAACUGGCGAACUGGAGUGUGGCAGAGGGAGGUGGAAUUCCGCGUGUAGCAGUGAAAUGCGUAGAGAUGCGGAGGAACACCGAUGGCGAAGGCAGCCCCCUGGGCUGACACUGACGCUCAGGCAUGAAAGCGUGGGGAGCAAACAGG